This 215-nucleotide unclassified non-coding RNA is filed under the name Hevea brasiliensis (rubber tree). The record is from RNAcentral. Lineage: Eukaryota; Viridiplantae; Streptophyta; Magnoliopsida; Malpighiales; Euphorbiaceae.
GGUUGUUCAUAAGAGUGAGAAGGUUGGCUUAUUAUACUUAGAUUCCACAUCUCCAAGUCCUUAGUCAAAUCGUCUAUGGUCGAGGAUGAAAAGCUCAAAAUUAGCAGCAUCUUUGUAAAUGGGAUCGAGAACUUUUGACAUCCUUUCUUUUAACUUGAUGAUAUCUCAAAGCCACCAUCAAAUGCUACCACAUUCCUUAGAACACCUCACAACAU